This is a non-coding RNA of Potamilus streckersoni, 72 nucleotides long. The record is from the annotation of a GenBank genome assembly. Lineage: Eukaryota; Metazoa; Mollusca; Bivalvia; Unionida; Unionidae.
GCUCCAGUGGCCUAGUGGUUAAAGUUUCCUAUUUGGACUUGGGAGGUCGUGGGUUCGAGCACCGGCCGAGUG